UGGGGAGUACGGUCGCAGCAUUGAAACUCUAAGGAAUUGACGGGGGCCCGCACAAGCGGAGGAACAUGUGGUUUAAGUCGAUGAUACGCGAGGAACCUGACCUGGGCUUAGAUGCAGAGCGACGUCCGCCGAAAGGUGGAUUCCGUCGGGCGAUCUGCAAGGUGCUGCAUGGUUGUCGUCAGCUCGUGCCGUGAGGUGUCGGGUUAAGUCCCAUAACGAGCGCAACCCUUAUCGUUAGUUGUCAGCGGCUCAUCCCGGGGACUCUAACGAAACUGCCGGUCUCCCCCGUCACGGAAGGUGGGGAUGACGUCAAAUCAGCACGGCCAUUAUGUCCAGGGCUACACACGUGUUACAAUGGUCGGUACAGAGGGCAGCUACCACGCGAGUGGAUGCUAAUCUCGAAAACCGGUCUCAGUUCGGAUUGAAGUCUGCAACUCGACUUCAUGAAGCUGGAUUCGCUAGUAAUCGCGCAUCACCCAUGGCGCGCUGNAUACGUUCCCGGGCAUUGACACACCGCCCGUCAAGCCAUG
This 530-nucleotide ribosomal RNA is filed under the name uncultured organism. RNAcentral's name for it is "bacterial SSU rRNA". It matches the Rfam family "Bacterial small subunit ribosomal RNA", at positions 874 to 1406 of the family's 1533-position model. The record is from RNAcentral.